AUACGUAGGGAGCGAGCGUUGUCCGGAAUUACUGGGCGUAAAGGGCGCGUAGGCGGCGCUUCAAGUCGUCUGUCAAAUGAGAGAGAUUAACCCUUUUUCGCAGACGAAACUGGAGAGCUUGAGAAGCAGAGAGGCAAACAGAAUUCCUGGUGUAGCGGUGAAAUUGGUAGAUAUCAGGAAGAAUACCAGUGGCGAAGGCGGUUUGCUGGCUGCAUACUGACGCUGAAGCGCGAAAGCCAGGGGAGCGAACGGGAUUAGAUACCCCGGUAGUCCUGGCAGUAAACGAUGUAUGCUGGGUGUGAGACUAGCGAUAGUUUCGUGCCGAAGUUAACGCGAUAAGCAUACCGCCUGGGGAGUACGGUCGCAAGAUUGAAACUCAAAGGAAUUGGCGGGG
RNAcentral lists this ribosomal RNA (394 nucleotides) under uncultured bacterium. Its description in RNAcentral is "partial 16S ribosomal RNA". It matches the Rfam family "Bacterial small subunit ribosomal RNA", at positions 523 to 918 of the family's 1533-position model. The record is from RNAcentral.